AUCUAUAAACUUCAGCAUAAAAGAGCUGAAUAACAACACCAGUGUCCAUCAUCGUACCUCCCUGAAGGAAU
Molecule: long non-coding RNA, 71 nt
Filed under: Sus scrofa (pig)
Lineage: Eukaryota; Metazoa; Chordata; Mammalia; Artiodactyla; Suidae
Description: lncRNA (ENSSSCG00070018865.1)
Source: RNAcentral